ACCUAUCAACUUAGCAACCGUACCGCGUCUGAUGUUCAGGAGAGCUAACCUAACGUCAUAUGCGGCUAUGACACAGCUACGUUGUUCCUAUUAAGUUUUCAUCAUACAUUGGCGACUGUAUCCUUUUUGCUUAUUAAAAACACCCACGUCCACGCAAGUCUACUGAAGAAACGGUUGCUUUUUCUGAACAAUACGUAUUUUAGCUUGGUUUGGCGGUGAUGGCAAUUUUUGAAGAACAAAUAAUUUACUUAGCUAUUUUGAGACUAAUUUGACUUCCUGAGUGGUUCAUCCUUUAAAGGCUCUUAGGUUCUGACCUGAUUUUAACUUUGCCAAUGCAACUGUGGUCGAGACUUCCGGUGGUUGUUUGGGGGGCAGAAAAACCUUCCGCUGCCUGGAAGAAAUGGAUUGCAAUAAUGCAGGACACUGAUAUAGGAGCAACUGUCCUUCAUUCAGAUAAGACAAUGCACUGACCCCCUCUGGCCACUAAUGGUCUCCUUGCGUCUUAACGAGAGGAGUAGGGGGUUGAUAUCGUGUUCAGUAAGGUUCAGUAGGGGGUUGAUAUCAUGUUCAGUAAGGCUCAGAUCAACCAGGGAUGGAAAUUGGUGAAGCUGAGGAGGGGCAGAGAAAUUCACACACUGCUUGUAAUCCAUUCCCAGCUGAAGUCCUAAUUUUGAGAAAGGUACUUUGUAUAAUUUGUAAAAUCCCCUUUAGGUGACCUCAUGUCUGAUCAGGGACCAUCUUCAUGUAGGAUCUCCAACAAAUCUUCACUGUAAACUUUCUGAGCCUGAUGUUCCUCCAUGAGCUGGGCCUCUGAAUUUGACUGAUGACCAGAAACAGAGUGUGUCCAUAUAACACAGCACAGAGGACCACAUUGGAAGACAGACGCUCAGAAACGACCCAGCAGGGCAGAGAGACAGAGACACCGCACCAUGCCUUGUGUUGUCAUGAAGACCGCUUUCACCUUCCUCUUCAUCGCGGGGCUCUGUGAAGGGGACACAGUCCUGCUCAGGGAGCAUUUUUAUAUGGGUGAAACACUGGAUUGGAAUGCUGCGCAAAACCGCUGUAGAACUUGGCUCAGGGACCUGUCUUCUGUGCUGACCGAGGAAGACGCGGAACGGGUUAUGAGCGCUCGUCCCGGAGGGUUCACGGGCAAGGCUUGGAUUGGUCUGUCCGGCACGGGGACGUGGUCGGCGUUGCUUUCUUCAUGGACAUAUACGUGGUUGUGGUCGUCAGGGGAGACAAUGGGCUUUACGAAGUGGGCUGCCAGACAGCCCAGUUCUGGUACCGCUGGGUCGCGAGCAUGUGUUUCUAUGCAGAAUGAUUACUGGUUAGAAGAGAACGAUUGCACUGUAAAGAUUCCAUCCUAUUGCUUUCAGGCAUAUAACAGGAAGUUGACUGUGGUGCAGGAGGCGAUGGCCUGGGAAAACGCUCUGGUUUACUGCAGGAGUAAGUACACCGACCUCUCCAGCCUGUUCUCAAACUACACUGCUGAGAAGGUUAUAAGCAGCACAGGAGCCACCACUGACUUUGUGUGGACUGGCCUGCGUUUCCUGACGGGCUGGUGGUAUUGGGUGAAUGGAGACCCCAUGCUCUAUAGUGUGUGGCCUAAUAGUGAGCAGUUCCAGUGUCCGGACAUGCCCCUCCGCUGUGGAGCCCUGUCAGUUAAAGAGAAAGUGUUUGUAGCAAGGCCUUGUGAUGAGGAGCUCGACUUCAUCUGUUACACACAGUUGUAGGGCCGUUAGGAGAGCGUAUGUACUUAGCACAGCAUUUUCUCUCUUGUGAUUCUACUUGUGUGUGUCUACUUCCAGUAAAUAUUUUACUUUACCAGUGUGAAAACUUUGGUGUGUUUCUGUAAAUUGUAUCUCAGUUAGAAUUCACUGAUGUUCUCACAUCUAUUUUUUAUUCAAAUAGAAUGUUUGUAAUUAAUAUUUUUUAUAGCUAUAUUGUCAUCCUUUGAUUAAUUUGUAAAACCUAGCAUUGUUGUAUUUUCUUGUAGUUUAAAUGACAUUGUUUCCCACGAUUCCAUCUCUGAUGUUAACAUAAUACAGACAUGUAUGCUUCUGCUUACAUCUCAGUUUAUAGUGUAAUAUCUUUCAUGCAUUAAUGCUCUACUUGUUGAUAUCACUUUAAUCAUUUUUAUGAUGACAUUGUCUUGCAAAUACAUAAGCAGUCCUAUACUCCAGUAACAGAGUGAAACGGUCUUUAACCAUACACAGACAUAUUUUAGUCUGUCAAUACUUAAGAUAUAUAGAACUUUUCAAUGAAAUGUAUGUAUAUUAGUUUUGUUAAUAAGCAUUUGUGAUGAUAAUUGUGAAACAUAAACAAUGCAAUUAGACAUUUCUUUAUUACAUUUAAUAUGAGAAACAAAAUAAAUGA
RNA transcript from Anguilla anguilla (European eel), 2376 nucleotides. It is a transcript of the gene named macrophage mannose receptor 1-like, with no coding region annotated. The transcript is spliced from 3 exons. The record is from RefSeq and is a predicted model, not a curated record. Lineage: Eukaryota; Metazoa; Chordata; Actinopteri; Anguilliformes; Anguillidae.